RNAcentral lists this ribosomal RNA (556 nucleotides) under uncultured bacterium. RNAcentral describes it as "partial 16S ribosomal RNA". It matches the Rfam family "Bacterial small subunit ribosomal RNA", at positions 355 to 900 of the family's 1533-position model. The record is from RNAcentral.
UGGGGAAUAUUGCACAAUGGGCGCAAGCCUGAUGCAGCCAUGCCGCGUGUGUGAAGAAGGCCUUCGGGUUGUAAAGCACUUUCAGCGAGGAGGAAGGGUAGUGUGUUAAUAGCACAUUGCAUUGACGUUACUCGCAGAAGAAGCACCGGCUAACUCCGUGCCAGCAGCCGCGGUAAUACGGAGGGUGCAAGCGUUAAUCGGAAUUACUGGGCGUAAAGCGCACGCAGGCGGUUUGUUAAGUCAGAUGUGAAAUCCCCGCGCUUAACGUGGGAACUGCAUUUGAAACUGGCAAGCUAGAGUCUUGUAGAGGGGGGUAGAAUUCCAGGUGUAGCGGUGAAAUGCGUAGAGAUCUGGAGGGAUACCGGUGGCGAAGGCGGCCCCCCUGGACAAAGACUGACGCUCAGGUGCGAAAGCGUGGGGAGCAAAACAGGAUUAGAUACCCUGGUAGUCCACGCUGUAAACGAUGUCGACUUGGAGGUUGUGCCCUUGAGGCGUGGCUUCCGGAGCUAACGCGUUAAGUCGACCGCCUGGGGGAGUACGGCCGCAAGGUUAAAAC